GAGGCCCUAGUAAAAACAUAUUACACUACCUUGUCAAGGCAUAAUUGCAGGUUAGAAUCCUGCGGGUCUUA
This 71-nucleotide transfer RNA is filed under the name Isurus oxyrinchus (shortfin mako shark). RNAcentral's name for it is "tRNA-Asp". It matches the Rfam family "tRNA". Rfam says of the family: Transfer RNA (tRNA) molecules are approximately 80 nucleotides in length. Lineage: Eukaryota; Metazoa; Chordata; Chondrichthyes; Lamniformes; Lamnidae. The record is from RNAcentral.